Molecule: ribosomal RNA, 254 nt
Filed under: uncultured bacterium
Lineage: Bacteria
Description: partial 16S ribosomal RNA
Rfam family: Bacterial small subunit ribosomal RNA
Source: RNAcentral
UACGGAGGGGGCAAGCGUUGUUCGGAAUUACUGGGCGUAAAGGGCGCGCAGGCGGCUGCUCAAGUCAGGCGUGAAAGGCCUGGGCUCAACCCGGGAAUUGCGCUUGAGACUGGGCUGGCUUGAGUGCGGGAGAGGGUAGCGGAAUUCCCGGUGUAGUGGUGAAAUGCGUAGAUAUCGGGAGGAACACCAGUGGCGAAAGCGGCUACCUGGCCCAUUCUUGACGCUGAGAUGCGAAAGCGUGGGGAGCAAACAGG